GGCACGAUGGCUUAGUGGUCAGCACGUUUGCCUCACAUCUUCAGGGUUGGGGGUUCAGUUCCCACUUCUGCCG
This is a non-coding RNA of Pangasianodon gigas (Mekong giant catfish), 73 nucleotides long. Lineage: Eukaryota; Metazoa; Chordata; Actinopteri; Siluriformes; Pangasiidae. The record is from the annotation of a GenBank genome assembly.